This is an RNA transcript of Triticum dicoccoides, 6024 nucleotides long. RefSeq lists it as uncharacterized. The record is from RefSeq and is a predicted model, not a curated record. Lineage: Eukaryota; Viridiplantae; Streptophyta; Magnoliopsida; Poales; Poaceae. The transcript has 8 exons.
CCCUCGCUCCUUCCUCCCUCACCCGCCGCCACUCCCUCCCACCACCUCCUCCUCCUUCUUCUCCACCCUAGGAGCCCCGCCACCGCCCUGCUGCUACUCCUCCAUCGGCCCGCCUCUUCCUCCUCCCCGCCUUCCCAUCGCUCGCGUGCAGACCAUCGUGGCCACGCGCUUCACGGGCGAACCCGACCGGCCCGUCGCUGUUGGCUCGAGCUGCUAGGAAGAGGGAGGAGUCCGGAGAAAGCAUGAAGGCACAGGCCGUGCCUGGUGAGGCGGCACCGCCGGCCAUGGGACGCUGGACCUCGGGGAGCCCCAUCCCAGGCCCGCGCCCAAAUUCUUGGGCAGGGGGGGAUAGAUCGACGAUGGCGCAUCACAUAAGGGAAUGGGAGAUCGAGGAGAAGGGAGACGAGGGUGGGUGGUGGCUUGCAGCAUGGGGCGGGCACGCAGGGGCACGUUCAACGAGGGUGGUGUUCUGUGGAUCUGGUGCCCCCUCUCCUUUGGCGACCUCCUCCUCCUCAUCUGCUGCCGAUGGCUGUGAGUUCACGGCUGCUCCGGAGCUCCAACGAGCCAAGUUGUGUGCAAAUCCGACAAAGAAGAGAAAAGGAAGAAUAUUGAGGAAGAGUUUUGGUGAAGAACAAGGGAAUAGAAAUGAAGAAUUAUAAUUUAAUUACUCUAGUGGAAGGAUCAGUUUUUAUGGCAUGGACUACAAAGGAGAGAAGUGGACCAUGUGAACGUAGUACAACAUUGUUGUUAGUUCGCGCAGUCGAGGUCUGCUCAGGAAGACACAGUUCGACCGAACAGUUGUUGUGUUUUCCCAGUUGUUUGCAAAUCCGACGAAAAGGAGCAAAGAAAGAAUAUUGAGGAAUAUUUAGGUAAAUAAGAACAAGUGCAUUUAUGUUGCUUCCUGCAAGGUCAAUGAUAUGGAGACAGUUGGAAUUCAUAUUCAAGCUAAUACAGUGACUAAAUUUGGUGAGCAGCGAGUGCCUGAUCAUGAUCUGCGGGAGGGUAACGGUUAUUAUAAUAAUUGAGUGUACCCAAUGGAGACUGCAUUACAUAAUUAAUCGGAGGGUAAGGGCGUCCAUAGUUUUCAUUGAACUACUGCAGUUUCCAACUGAAUUUUCAUUUGCAGAUUCCGAAGAACGGAGUUCUAGGUUCUAACCAUGUCGCUUCCAUUUGUUGUAUUCUGAGGAUAAUCUUGUUCUAUAUCCCUGCAUUGUUAUCCACUGGACUCUAAAACAAAAAUCAAUGUUUGCACAUCCAGACAAGGUAAACUUAUGAUGAGUGGACUCCACAAUAUAAAUUGACAUUCUAUGUCAGUGGAAGUGAGUCUAUACUCACCGAGGAACAAUUUGAUCUGAUAACUAUGAAAUGUUCUUUGUUGGUUUUGGUUCUAUAAUAUCAAGAUCUAUAAUUAUAUUCACUUUACAUGUUAACAUGUUGUAAAUAAAUUGUUAUCUAAUAGUCAGCAAUCUGUGGGAACUUUUCCUCACAGUAGGGUGUGUUGUUGAUGUUUUCUUGAUCUACCAGUGAACUUGUAUCAUGUGGCUAAUAUGUAUAUACAACGAGACUUUAUUUAUGUUCGCCCUUUUUGUUCUGUGCGUGCUUGGUGAAUUGCUUACCCGGUGUGUGGCAGAAAAUAGAAAGUCGAGUUUGAUUUCUAUUGUGGCAUUGCAAUAGAUGACCAACCUUUUAUGUUAUGUGCUUUAGCUUCUUUCCAAAUUUUAGAGUGACAACCGUUUGACAAAGGGUGAAAUUUUUGGUAGGGCCUAGGUGGAAAGUAUUUGAUUAGUUUUUUGAGAGACUGAACAAUAUUUUUAGUUCUGUUUUGUGCUAAUGAACUACUUUUUAAUCACUUCCUUAUGAACGUAUAAAAUAAAUUACAUUGUAAUGUAUCAUGUUGUAUUACAUGAAAAGGUGUUGAAAAGGACGCAAUCCAUCAAAUAUAUGUAGUAUGAUAUAGGAUCCUUGCUUUAUUGUAUCCAUAUGUUGUAAGGAGAUUAUCUUGUCCUUUCAUUAUUCUUAUUAUUUGUCCUUUUCACAUUAAUCGUGAGUAGACUUGGGCCAUUGCAUUUGAUGUUGAUCUUAUUUGCAUAUUAGUCCAAGAACAACAAUUGCUCUUUGUUGUGGUAUUGCUGGAGAAAUACAAAUGUAUAUACCCGUUUCCCAUUGUCCAUUCGAGGAGAUCCCUGAGGCAUUUGAUUCUUGUGGGAUUCCCACACAUCUUACAGGAUCAUCAACAAGUGGCUGGGCCUCUAAAUUACUCAGAAAAGCUUCCAGCAGUCUCCGAUUCAAAAGAAAACAAAUAAGAAAGGAUGCAUUGAUUAUUUUGGGUUGAUCUUAUUUGAAUUUCCAGUGAAAUUCAAACUUGAGACCUUACUCGAGUAUUUAGUUCCAAUGGAAUUAAAUGAAUUUCCCAAAAUGCCUCUUUGGGUAUUAGUUGCAUUUUUAUUUGGAUCGUUGUACAUUCAAACAGUUUCUGAUUCAAAAUACAACAACACGGAGAAGAUAAAAUGAUUAAGCAACACCCAAAUAGUGGUUGCAGCAGAUCUCUCUCUCAUUCUCUUUCCAGUUUGGUUGACCAUUCUUUUUGUUCUUAGGUCUUUGAUCUGCUUUCUUCUUCAGCGAAGCAGACCACGAUCUCCUACACAUUCUGCCUUGCUCCCCGGGGCAACCUUCUCUGUUUCAGAUCCACUCUUUUCGUUAUGGUUUUAACUAUGCUUAUGAUUACCUGUCUUGCCGAAAUUCACUUGCCAUAUGCAAGUCUUCUGGUGUGUGCCGAUGGAAAUUAUAUUUGCGCAACAAGAUUAGAGUAGAUAAUUUCCUAACCUUGAUUCCUUAUCGAGUGCUUACUAAAAUAGAUGUACAGUUAUUUCAUUCCAUGCUUACAAUCCACAAAGUUAAUUCUUGUGAUUUACUUAUGCUAUCAAAAUCUGUUUGAUUUCCUAUACCCGUAGGUACCAUUGUAUACCUGAAUCCAUGUGAUUUCAUGUCUCUAUGGUUAUGUUGAUUAUCUUACCUUUGCUAGCCAUGUGUGCCCUCACCUUUGUUCAUCAAUUCGUGCGCAGGUAUGGAUCGGUGAUGUCAAUGCCCAUAGAGCCAUUACCUCAUGAAUGAUGUGUGUUUUGUGUGUGCCAGUUUGCCGGUUAGUGAGUGAUAAUAUUCUGAUGAAUGUUUCAUCAGUGUAGAAAGUGAUCAGCAAUAGACAGCUCUUACUUUUGGAUUGAAGUGCAGAUCUUGCUAAUGAGUUAACUAUUGACUCAUUUAUGUAUUCUUAUGCCCCAAUGUUUCAUUAAGUAUUCUUAUUUCUAUAACAUAAAAUUAUUUCUUACCAUCUUCUAUUGUUUUCCUCUGUUUUUAUAGUUAUUCAGAGAACACCACAUGUCACAUGAAUUCUAGACUACUUGUCUACAGUUAACUGGUUAGAAUCAGUUUCUUGAGUUUGCUUGCUUAGCAUGUAAUAUUUCACACUCGCUAAUUGUAUUAUUUCACGGUUGGCAAUUGUUAGAACCAGGUCUUGAGUUUGCUUGCUUAAUCGUGUCCCUGUGUAAUUUCUCACCAAGCUCGCCAAUGUGAGUUUGUCCCACAUAUGGAGUUUCUAUGAAUUUUUGUAGUCCAGAAAUUCCUGGAAAUUCUCUUGUUGAUGUUAUAAUGUGGGUGUGUUCGGCUUCCUUCUUCAUUAAAGGUGAGUCCUUUCUUUCAGGUUGGCCAACAUGAUGUUGUUUCUGCUGCAAAAUAAUUCGUUAUGCAAUUAUGGUUAGGUUGUCCUUUUUCCUUCAUAACCGUGUUUAAUGGGUAGCUGUUAUGCUCACUUUCCUCAAAGCAAGGUUGUGUAGCCGUGCUAUUUUGUGCUUUAAGAAGUAAGCCGACACCAAAUCAGUAAUCAUGUGCUUCUGCUUUGUUGGCCCAAAGUCACUAUUUUUUGUGUGUUAUCUUUACUCUUUAGCCAUUCCAAAACAUUUAUCUGAUUUUGCAGUAUUGCAGACCAUAGAAUUACAAGUUGACCAUAUUUUUUAAUGUGUGAACCUCACACAGAUGUCGUGCGAAUGCAGUUUGACAAGAGUCGUAAAACCAAUGGAUAAUAAGAGACUGUUUGAUGGUGAAAGAAUUUAUGCUCAUGGUGACUACCUCAAGUGUGCCAGAGUAAGAAUUUGUCACAAUUUAGUUUAAGAAGACAAUAUUAUAGCUCUGCAAUAUUACAUGCUUAUUACAUGAACAGGACCCAUUUGGCAACACUUAAAUCAUUUUAUGGCGCCUUUGUUUCUGAUCUACAAAACAACAACUUUUACCGAGGCUUGUUAUUUCUAAUUCAUUCUUUUUCCCUGCUUGCUUAUUGCAACACAAGCCACCAUGACUCUAAUAUCAAGCAUACACACAUGUUCGAUAUACUCCCUAUGUCGUGCAACAAGCCAAAAGUAAUCCAUUGGAAUUUAUAGAUGCUUACAAAAUAUGCAGCCCUAUUGGUAAAAAAGGAAAAAACAAUUUUCAGAUGCCCCUGUUUUCUCCAUCGAGAUUAGCCUUCAUAAAAAUCACAUUCUUAUUUUCCUUCGCAAAACAUUUUGUCACCCUUCUGUCUACCAUAGACAACCAAUCAUAUAGCUCCUUGACUAUGCUAUACAUUUUUUUAUGCCAACAGGAAAAAUCUGUACUACUAAAUCUCUGUGCAACGCCUACGCAGAAAUAAUUUUUUUCAUUAACAAACAUAAUAAUGUGGUUCUGCCCCGCAAAACUAAUAAUAAUAAUAAUGUGGUUCUGACUUUUGUAGCCGCAAAAAAACGCUCUCCAUCAACUACAAGUUUCUGUAAAAUAGACCAGCCUGCUUAAUACAUUGGCUUUCGAAAAAUUUCACGACCCAUCACCAGCCCAUAGAAAUCUUUGCCUGGCCCUUUUUAGAAGGAGACCGCAGCUCCCAUUAAACUUAGCCGCUCCAGAUUCCUUAUCCAGAUCCACUGCCGGACCACCUCCCCCAUCCGCAUCGACAACGACCGACCUGGCAUCGACCGGCUGCUGGAGCCAUGACCAAGAAGCCGCUCCGAAGAAGCGCCGCUGUCCGUCAUCACGGCGUGCUACCAACGUAUUCGCUUGCGGCACGCCUGGAUCAAGGACUCACCAACGAACAAGCCACCUCUUCCCUUCUGCAUACGCGUUCCAACCGCCAGAUUUACAAGAUGGCUGCUGUUAAACAAGAGGAGGUAGACACAACCAAUGAUACCAGCGGUGGCCAAAUUACCCAUGACGAACCACUACGUCGGAAGCACAAUAAGCGAUACGAGUAUAUUCAUCGCCCACGCAAAGCAAGCUCAAUCCAAAAGUUCAAAGGCAAGAAAAUCCAUCUAAAGCCCAGAAAGUUCAUUCUUCGUGGUGAGCCUUGCGAGCACUACUUAGAUGAGUUUAGUCACCUCGUUGUGUGGGGCAACACAGUUAGGCUCUACAACCAUAAUGUUCGUGCACUGCAAAAGAUCAUCCACAACACCACCACGCCUAAUAACUACUAUGUGUGCCACAUGACAGAAACAUUUGCAACACAAGGCAAAAGAAUGGUAAUCCUUCGCAAUUAUUCUGUUCUGUUUCAUAUAAUAGCAUGGUAUAAAAUGAUAUAGUGACUAACCUUUACUACUGUUUUGAGUACUUUAAUGUCCACUUUUCUACGGGUUCCCUUUUCCCACACAUGGAUGCUGACCGAGGUGAACUUCCAAUCACAACUGGAGACGGAACAAUCAUUGUCACAGCCCGCUUUAUCAAGGGAGUUGACAAAAGGGCCACCAUCACUAAAGGCUGGAGCGACUUCUUCCGUCGGACCCACAUGAACGAAGGGCAAACAUAUGCUUUCGGCUUCAAAUGCACUUCCAAGGGAUUGUACCUGAUUGUCUACUCAAUAUAAGCAAGUUGCAGGAGCCCCUUUCUAUAUAACAUAUUAUUUAUAUGAAUGCCUACAAAGACAUCUAUGUUUAUCCUUGUUUUCGAUCUUAUGUAAUCCCCUAAGACACUGUUGUGCAUUUAGCUAUCGAUUAUCCGCUACUUAGACUUCUC